CGCUUAGCUCAGUUGGUUAGAGCAUCUGCCUUACAAGCAGAGGGUCGUAGGUUCGAGUCCUAUAGCGUCC
RNAcentral lists this transfer RNA (70 nucleotides) under uncultured Succinatimonas sp. It matches the Rfam family "tRNA". From Rfam's summary of the family: Transfer RNA (tRNA) molecules are approximately 80 nucleotides in length. Lineage: Bacteria; Pseudomonadati; Pseudomonadota; Gammaproteobacteria; Aeromonadales; Succinivibrionaceae. The record is from RNAcentral.